UACGUAGGGACCGAGCGUUGUCCGGAUUCAUUGGGCGUAAAGAGCUCGUAGGCGGCUGCUCAAGUCGAAUGUGAAAACUCGAGGCUCAACCUCGAGCCUGCAUUCGAUACUGGGCGGCUAGAGUCUGGUAGGGGGAUCUGGAAUUCCUGGUGUAGCGGUGGAAUGCGCAGAUAUCAGGAGGAACACCCGUAGCGAAGGCGGCACUCUGGGCCGAUACUGACACUGAGGAGCGAAAGCGUGGGGAGCGAACAGG
RNAcentral lists this ribosomal RNA (253 nucleotides) under uncultured bacterium. RNAcentral's name for it is "partial 16S ribosomal RNA". It matches the Rfam family "Bacterial small subunit ribosomal RNA", at positions 524 to 776 of the family's 1533-position model. The record is from RNAcentral.